ACGUAGGUGGCAAGCGUUGUCCGGAUUUACUGGGUGUAAAGGGAGCGCAGGCGGGACAGCAAGUUGGAUGUGAAAUACCGGAGCUUAACUCCGGAGCUGCAUCCAAAACUGUUGUUCUUGAGUGAAGUAGAGGUUGGCGGAAUUCCGAGUGUAGCGGUGAAAUGCGUAGAUAUUCGGAGGAACACCAGUGGCGAAGGCGGCCAACUGGGCUUUAACUGACGCUGAGGCUCGAAAGCAUGGGGAGCAAACAG
Molecule: ribosomal RNA, 251 nt
Filed under: uncultured bacterium
Lineage: Bacteria
Description: partial 16S ribosomal RNA
Rfam family: Bacterial small subunit ribosomal RNA
Source: RNAcentral